RNAcentral lists this long non-coding RNA (1189 nucleotides) under Marmota monax (woodchuck). The record is from RNAcentral. Lineage: Eukaryota; Metazoa; Chordata; Mammalia; Rodentia; Sciuridae.
CCUGUCUCUAAAUAAAAUACAAAACAGGGCUGGGGAUGUGGCUCAGUGGUCGAGUGACCCUGAGUUCAAUCCCCGGUACCCGCCCCCUCCCACGGGAAAAGUCAUUUUUAAUGACUGCACAACAGUCCAACAAAUAGAAGUUCCACCUAAUGUACCAUCUGGUUAUUUCUACACUUUUUAUUUGAUAAACAAUUUUGAGCUAUAAUGUUUUCUUUUUUUAACCUCAGCUAUUGGGAUUUUGUCCUGGGUUGAGUUGUUUCCAAAAAAAAGAUAUGUUCAAGUCCUAACCCUGGGUGCAUGUGAAUGGGACCUUCCUUGGAAAGGGGGUCUUUGCAGAUGUAAUCAAGUGUCAGGUGGAGACAGACACACAGGGGUCCGUGUGACGCCGGAGCUGAGACAGAAGGUGGACUGCCCUGGGUGGAUGGCCUCCACCAGCAGCUGGAACAGGUGAAGCAGGUGCUUCCCAGUGAGGGACCCAGCACCACCCACACCUUGACUUUGCACCUCUGGCCUCCAGAACUGUGAGGCAGUAAGUUCCUGUUGUCUAAAGCCAUCCAAGCCGUGGCGGUCCUGGGGGACGCCGUGGGCCCGAGGUAGAGCUGGCCCUGAGGAGAUGGGCCACAGCUGGUGUGUAGAUGGCCCUCCGUGGGCUUGGUCUCCCCCAGCCUGGCCCACGCACUCCGCAGAAGACUGGAGUCCAAAGGAGCCAGCCCUGCAGCCCGCAGCCUGCCACCCCUCCUUUCCACGUUUCUCUGUGUCCCCUGCACUCAGGGUUGGCAUCCGGUCCCUGCUCAGAGGCGGGCAGCAGCGCAGGAGGCCUUGAUUAGCCCUCAGGUGGCCAGGAGCCACGUGUGACUCUUGCCUCUGGGAUGCCAUCCUGCUCCCCGCACCGCAGCCCAGGGGCGUGGGCAAGCGUGCAGUGGGCCCCGCAGGUGCAGGAGCGUUGCCCACGACGUCCUGCCUUUCAGCUGGCUGGUGGCUGGGGGGUAGCAUCACCUGUCACACUGUGGCUGGCGCCUCGGUCUUGCUCACCCGCUGGCUCAGGGCUUCACCGUCUUCAAAGCUGUUCUUGGGGGGCACAAAAACGUUUUUCUUCCCCCGACUCCCACACCAUUUGGGGCAGUUCUCCCCCGGACUAAAUCUGGAGCUCAGCUGAAGGUCUUGGCCUUUGAGGAAUUAGGUCCUCUCC